Protopterus annectens (West African lungfish) is the source of this 1368-nucleotide long non-coding RNA. RefSeq lists it as uncharacterized. Lineage: Eukaryota; Metazoa; Chordata; Ceratodontiformes; Protopteridae. The record is from RefSeq and is a predicted model, not a curated record. The transcript is spliced from 2 exons.
UACAAAUCAGAUGCAUGGAGUAGUUUGCCUGUGAUUUGGCCAGUGCUAGCAGUAUCCCCUGCACUGCUGAACAGCAUAGGAAUAACUACCAAGACCUCAGGAUGAGGAAGAGGGAUACCCUUGACCGUUGGAUCGAGGACUGUUGUACUGCCAGUACUCCAUAGAUGUAUAAUUCGUGGAAAUGGCUUCAGAGUGCUGACCAAGUGGAUACCUUUACUUACCAGAAGUCACUGCUUCACUUGAAUAUUUAGGGCUAUAUAAAAAGCAUUCUGCUCUUUAAUUGGCUACAUGGGAACUUUAGCCUACCUUGUGCGAUGCUGAUUUCUAAUUUUACAUAGUAUAAUGCUGCUUUCCAAGAAGCUGAACUGGAUGGAGCAAGAAGGCUUCCUUAAUUAAGUCAGUCGGCCCAAGUAAUGUCUUCGAGUGUUUCCUUUCUAGGGUUACCAGAGUAAUCCUCAUUAUUAUUACUGAGUUAUAGUUAGUUACCUGUCACCUAGAAAUGUUGAACAUUUAAGAUAUCACGACAGAAGCAGAAAAAGAAUACAAACUUCAGAUUCUUUAUUGCUUAGUUUGUAAAAUUCCAUUAGUUCAGUGUUCUCUAUAUGGCUGACAAAGAAAAUAUGUUUCAUGUAUGUUGGUUGCUGCUACGUUUUUAUUGGGGUGACUUUUAGUCUGUGUUAUGGUGCUCCAUAUAUUGCAGAAUGCAUCUGGUAGUCUCUGCUAUUCAUAUUUUUAUUAGUGUUUACUAAAAGAUAAUAACCUUUGCAUAGACAACUUAUUUUAAAACUAUUCAGUGCUAUUACAUUUUCAUUAAUAUUUACAAAACCAUGUGACAUACAAGCUGCUGGAAGAUAUCUUAAAGCUUAUAUGAUGGGCAACAAGACUGCCUCUGAUUGUCUCAGAUAUUACACCUUUAUCUAAAAAAGUUGGUCAAUGUUUAUAAGCUGAAUUACACAAUGCUAGCUCAUUAGUAUUCAAAAACGUACACACUGAUUGGUCAGCCCAACCAGGGUACCCAUUGUAAAAUUGAGCAUAUACCAAAAGAAAAAAAAGUCUAGCCGCUGAAGUCUGACUGGACUUUCUUGUAUUAAUAUAUGUUAUAGAAGUCAAUGCACAAUAGCAUAAAUCUUGUUAUUCUAGAAGCUUUCUAACUUUAUAAGAGCAGCAUUUACAGUAGGGACCUUUGUCCCCCUUAUUUAAGGCUUUGCAUGUUUCUUGAGCUAAGAGCUCGAGAGAUACGUCAGAGAAAAUACAAGGAAAAUCGGGUAUGUUCUGCAAAACUAAAGAAACAUACUUGAUUUUCCUUGUGUGCUUACCCUGUCCCUCUCAUGCCUCUAAGCUGUCUGGAUUUUAAUUUUUUUUUUUUUU